RNAcentral lists this unclassified non-coding RNA (332 nucleotides) under soil metagenome. Its description in RNAcentral is "partial contains 5.8S ribosomal RNA, internal transcribed spacer 2, and large subunit ribosomal RNA". The stretch from base 1 to 120 matches the Rfam family "5.8S ribosomal RNA", at positions 35 to 154 of the family's 154-position model. The record is from RNAcentral.
GAUGAAGAACGGAGCGAAAUGCGAUAAGUAAUGUGAAUUGCAGAAUUCAGUGAAUCAUCGAAUCUUUGAACGCACAUUGCGCCCGCCAGUAUUCUGGCGGGCAUGCCUGUCCGAGCGUCAUUUCAACCAUCAAGCCCCGGGCUUGUGUUGGGGACCUGCGUCCGACGCAGGCCCUGAAAACCAGUGGCGGGCUCGCUGUCCACACCGAGCGUAGUAACUAACCUCGCUAUGGAGUGGCGCGGGCGCCUGCCGUAAAACCCCCAAUUUCACAAGGUUGACCUCGGAUCAGGUAGGAAUACCCGCUGAACUUAAGCAUAUCAAUAAGCGGAGGA